This 435-nucleotide ribosomal RNA is filed under the name uncultured bacterium. RNAcentral describes it as "partial 16S ribosomal RNA". It matches the Rfam family "Bacterial small subunit ribosomal RNA", at positions 29 to 507 of the family's 1533-position model. The record is from RNAcentral.
AACGAACGCUGGCGGCAGGCCUAACACAUGCAAGUCGAGCGGACAUCUUCGGAUGUUAGCGGCGGACGGGUGAGUAACGCGUGGGAACGUGCCCUUUGCUUCGGAAUAGCCUCGGGAAACUGGGAGUAAUACCGGAUGUACCCUUUGGGGGAAAGAUUUAUCGGCAAAGGAUCGGCCCGCGUUGGAUUAGGUAGUUGGUGGGGUAAUGGCCUACCAAGCCGACGAUUCAUAGCUGGUUUGAGAGGAUGAUCAGCCACACUGGGACUGAGACACGGCCCAGACUCCUACGGGAGGCAGCAGUGGGGAAUCUUAGACAAUGGAGGAAGCCCUGAUCUAGCCAUGCCGCGUGAGCGAUGAAGGCCUUAGGGUUGUAAAGCUCUUUCACCGGGGAAGAUGAUGACGGUACCCGGAGAAGAAGCCCCGGCUAACUCCGUG